Long non-coding RNA from Trifolium pratense (red clover), 640 nucleotides. RefSeq lists it as uncharacterized. The transcript has 6 exons. NCBI's taxonomy places the organism in Eukaryota, Viridiplantae, Streptophyta, Magnoliopsida, Fabales, Fabaceae. The record is from RefSeq and is a predicted model, not a curated record.
UUAACAUUUCUAAUGACAAUCUUUUAAAAUGGUUUUCACUUACUCAUCAUGUGAAAUGCUCCAUGCAUAUGUUGAUAUAUCCUUGUGCAGCUUCGAUGCAUUCGACUCGUAGACAGCUUCAUCAUAGGGGCUUGUAAGUUUCCACAUUACCCAAGUCGAGUAUUUCAUCUGGUUCCAAAUGCUUCUCCUCCUGCAUUACUGAAUCAGCAGCUUGUGUCUUCACUGAAUCUGUCUUCACCGAAUCAUUAUUAUUCAACCUGAAACCAUUAAAAAUCAUUUUGGUUUUCAGACAUCACAUACCAAAACCAUUCUAGAUCCUACAAUUUAUGUACUCUUUUUAUAAAUUGUCGAUUUCAGCAAAGAGAGUGGGAUAGUAUUCUUUCCAGGAAGAGAUCAUAAUGGAGAUUAUGUUCCCUUAUAUCCUAGAACAGGUCUUGCUAAGGGCGCAGCGGUUGGUAUAUCUAUAGCAGGAAUGUUCGGGUUUGUAUUAUUUGUUAUCUGUAUAUAUGUUAGAUACACUAAGAAGAAGGAAGAAGAGAAAGAUAAACUUCCUCAAACUUCUAUGAAGCUUUCAACUCAAGAUGGUAAUGGUAUAUUUUUUCGUAUUCAGAUUCUUUCCAAGUUCUUAUCAACUACUUAU